AUUAAAAUGUUUUAUAACAUUUUUUAAUUUUCAUGAAUAACUGUGGAAAGAUUUGAAUAGCAAUAGGUUGCAAUAAAUUUUAUCCAAAACUCCUAUUUCAACGGUAUAAUCCAAUACAUCCCAUUAAAAAUCUUCUGUUACUUUCUUAUUGAAUAAUUGUAUGAUUAUUUGUUGGUAGGUAGCGGUUGAAAUUCAAUGUAAGAUCAUUAAUAUUUUAAUAAAUCACAAUCGAUAUUUAUAGAUAUUAUUUAGCGGAGCACAGAAAACUUCCAGAAAAAUUAAUUAAUGUUAAAGUCGAUGAAUACGUGGAAUAUAUCCGGCAAAAAAUUGCGGACUUAAUUAGACCUCCGAAGAAGACGCCAUCAGAAGCAGCUGAAGCAACAAAGGAUGAUAAAAAAAAAAAUAAAAAAAAACUGCCAAAAGCUCGAAAGGGCAAACAAGAUGUUUCGAGCUCCAGUGAAAGUAGCGACUCCGGUGAAGACAGUGAAGCUUCAGACAGUGAAGAUGAUACCAACUAAGACAUUGCAUUAACUUUACUUUUUUCAAUAUUUAAUCAGAUAAAUUUUUUCUAUUUUCAAACUUCUUCAUUUUUAGUUAAUAA
Cotesia glomerata is the source of this 601-nucleotide long non-coding RNA. RefSeq lists it as uncharacterized. The transcript has 3 exons. The record is from RefSeq and is a predicted model, not a curated record. NCBI's taxonomy places the organism in Eukaryota, Metazoa, Arthropoda, Insecta, Hymenoptera, Braconidae.